UACAGAGGUCUCAAGCGUUGUUCGGAUUCAUUGGGCGUAAAGGGUGCGUAGGCGGGUCUUUAAGUCAGGGGUGAAAUCCUGGAGCUCAACUCCAGAACUGCCUUUGAUACUGAGGAUCUUGAGUUCGGGAGAGGUGAGUGGAACUGCGAGUGUAGAGGUGAAAUUCGUAGAUAUUCGCAAGAACACCAGUGGCGAAGGCGGCUCACUGGCCCGGUACUGACGCUGAGGUGCGAAAGCGUGGGGAGCAAACAGG
Molecule: ribosomal RNA, 253 nt
Filed under: uncultured bacterium
Lineage: Bacteria
Description: partial 16S ribosomal RNA
Rfam family: Bacterial small subunit ribosomal RNA
Source: RNAcentral